AGUGCAUGCAGUACCCACAGCAUACUGCAGCAGCAGUAUGGAUCUGGUGCUCACCAAAGCAGAGGAAAUCAUUAAAGGCGAUAAGACUGGAGGCAGCCUCGGUUGCAGCGACUGUGCCUUGGUUGAGUUUGGGAUCUUGAGGAAUGUAGGCCUGGCAAAGAGUAGGGUCAGGACCCUGAACUUUCAGGGAGCAAACUUCAGGCUGUUUAAGGAAUUGAUGGAUGACAUCUCCUGGGAAGCUGUCCUUAGAGACAAAGGAGUGGAAGAAAGCUGGCUACUCUUCAAGGAUACCCUUCCGGGAGCACAAGAGCUCCCCCAUCCCUCAGAAUAAGAAAGCAGGCAGGAGAGAUAGGAAACCAACAUGGCUUGGCAAGUCAGACUGAUGGAAAAGAAGAGAUUGUACCAGCUGUGGAAACAAAGGCAUGUCACCUGGGGAGAAUACAGGGAUGCAGUCUGGACUUGAAGAGAGAGGAUUAGGAAAGCCAAGGCACAUAUGGAACUAUAUUUGAUGAGGGAUGUGAAAAACAACAAGAAAGCAUUCUAUAGGUACAUUGGUCAGAAGAGGCAGGCCAGGAGAGCAUACCUUCUUUGGUAAAUGAAAAAGAAGAACUGACUAUGACAGAUAUGGAGAAGGCUGAGGUACUAAAUGAGUUUUUUGUGUUGGUCUGCACUGGCAGCCAGGAUUCUUGUAUUUCUCAUGUCCCUGAAGCUCACAUCCCUGGGCAUCUAGGUGGGAACUGGGGGCAUAAAUCCACCCCUGCUGUAAAGGCAGAGCAAGUCCGAGACUGCCUCAUGAGACUGAAUGUAUACAUGUCUAUGGGGCCAGAUGACACCCAUCCCAGGGCCCUAAAGGAGCUGGCUGACAUGGCUGCCGAGCUGCUCUGCAUCAUAUUUGAAAAGUCAUGGCUACUGGGCGAAGUCUCUGGGAACUGGAAAAAAGGAAAUGUCACUCCCAUUUACAAGAGUGGGAGGAAGGAGGACCCAGGGAACUGCAGGCCGGUGAGCCUCAGCUCUGUGCCUGGGAAGAUCAUGGAACAGAUCCUCCUAGAAGACAUGUUAAGGUACAUGAGGGAUGAGCAAGUGAUCUGAGACAGCUAACAUGGCUUUACCAAGCGAAGGUCAUGUCUAACCAAUCUGGUGGCCUUCUAUGAUGGAAUGAUGACACUGAUGGACAAAAAGGAAGCCACUGAUGUCAUCUACAUGGACUUGUGCAAGCCCUUUGACAUGGUCCCCCCACUGCAUUCUUAUGUCUAAAUUGGAGAGUUAUGAUUGUCCAGAAUAUUGAGGAUCCAGAUAUGCAGCAUCAAUAAGAAAAUCAGUUAAUGCAUCUAUUCCUUAAAUAUAUUAAACUGCAUGGUAACU
RNAcentral lists this long non-coding RNA (1362 nucleotides) under Gallus gallus (chicken). RNAcentral's name for it is "lncRNA (ENSGALG00010025716.1)". Lineage: Eukaryota; Metazoa; Chordata; Aves; Galliformes; Phasianidae. The record is from RNAcentral.